CCCCUUCAUCAUCUUCACCAUUCAGCUUUGACGAAAUAUUCACGGAUAUGGUCCGAGAUGCCGAAAAGGGUUUGCACGAAGAUGCAUUGGCAUUGCACAUGAGAGACAACUUUUUUACGAGGAUGAGAUAAAGCGUCGAAGCUCUUCCCAAAGGUCAUCAGAUUAUGUGUUCUCAAUGGGCAAUUGGACGAAGCUCACCACCUGUUCGAUCAAAUGCCUAAGAGGAAGAUGAAUCAAACUGUAAGGUAAACGAUGAACCAAAACAGGCUAUUUGUACGGUGAAAAUAUGGGUUGUUUGAUAAAAAAACUCAUCAGAUUAUGUGCUCUCAAUGGGCAAUUGGACGAAGCUCACCACCUGUUCGAUCAAAUGCCUAAGUGUCAUGAAUCAGCUUUUCUGUGGAAUUCACUGAUAGCCCCCUAUGCCGAAAAGGGUUUGCACGAAGAUGCGUUAGGUUUGCUCCGAAAAGGGUUAUGCCAAAACUCAGUUGUAGACAGCAUUUGGAGAACAUUCUCCUUGCUGAGUUGUGUUGAUGAUGAAGUUAUAUCAGUUCUUAUGUUUCUCUUGUUUGGCAGAUAUCUGAAAUCCCAAAGUUAACUUCUGGUUGCU
Long non-coding RNA from Coffea arabica (coffee), 607 nucleotides. RefSeq lists it as uncharacterized. The record is from RefSeq and is a predicted model, not a curated record. NCBI's taxonomy places the organism in Eukaryota, Viridiplantae, Streptophyta, Magnoliopsida, Gentianales, Rubiaceae.